UGGCGGACGGGUGAGUAACGCGUGGGUAACCUGCCUUAUACAGGGGGAUAACAGUCAGAAAUGACUGCUAAUACCGCAUAAGACCACAGCACCGCAUGGUGCAGGGGUAAAAACUCCGGUGGUACAGGAUGGACCCGCGUCUGAUUAGCUGGUUGGUGAGGUAACGGCUCACCAAGGCGACGAUCAGUAGCCGGCUUGAGAGAGUGAACGGCCACAUUGGGACUGAGACACGGCCCAAACUCCUACGGGAGGCAGCAUG
This 259-nucleotide ribosomal RNA is filed under the name uncultured bacterium. RNAcentral's name for it is "partial 16S ribosomal RNA". It matches the Rfam family "Bacterial small subunit ribosomal RNA", at positions 96 to 353 of the family's 1533-position model. The record is from RNAcentral.